RNAcentral lists this ribosomal RNA (822 nucleotides) under uncultured bacterium. RNAcentral's name for it is "bacterial SSU rRNA". It matches the Rfam family "Bacterial small subunit ribosomal RNA", at positions 560 to 1384 of the family's 1533-position model. The record is from RNAcentral.
GUAAAGCGAGCGCNGGCGGUUUGAUAAGUCUGAAGUUAAAGGCUGUGGCUCAACCAUAGUUCGCUUUGGUAACUGUCAAACUUGAGUGCAGAAGGGGAGAGUGGAAUUCCAUGUGUAGCGGUGAAAUGCGUAGAUAUAUGGAGGAACACCGGUGGCGAAAGCGGCUCUCUGGUCUGUAACUGACGCUGAGGCUCGAAAGCGUGGGGAGCGAACAGGAUUAGAUACCCUGGUAGUCCACGCCGUAAACGAUGAGUGCUAGGUGUUGGGUCCUUUCCGGGAUUCAGUGCCGCAGCUAACGCAUUAAGCACUCCGCCUGGGGAGUACGACCGCAAGGUUGAAACUCAAAGGAAUUGACGGGGGCCCGCACAAGCGGUGGAGCAUGCGGUUUAAUUCGAAGCAACGCGAAGAACCUUACCAGGUCUUGACAUCCGAUGCUAUUUCUAGAGAUAGGAAGUUACUUCGGUACAUCGGUGACAGGUGGUGCACGGUUGUCGUCAGCUCGUGUCGUGAGAUGUUGGGUUAAGUCCCGCAACGAGCGCAACCCCUAUUGUUAGUUGCCAUCAUUCAGUUGGGCACUCUAGCGAGACUGCCGGUAAUAAACCGGAGGAAGGUGGGGAUGACGUCAAAUCAUCAUGCCCCUUAUGACCUGGGCUACACACGUGCUACAAUGGUUGGUACAACGAGUUGCGAGUCGGUGACGACGAGCUAAUCUCUUAAAGCCAAUCUCAGUUCGGAUUGUAGGCUGCAACUCGCCUACAUGAAGUCGGAAUCGCUAGUAAUCGCGGAUCAGCACGCCGCGGUGAAUACGUUCCCGGGCCUUGU